RNAcentral lists this ribosomal RNA (442 nucleotides) under uncultured bacterium. RNAcentral's name for it is "partial 16S ribosomal RNA". It matches the Rfam family "Bacterial small subunit ribosomal RNA", at positions 338 to 795 of the family's 1533-position model. The record is from RNAcentral.
CCUACGGGUGGCAGCAUUGGGGAAUAUUGGGCAAUGGGCGCAAGCCUGACCCAGCAACGCCGCGUGAAGGAAGAAGGCUUUCGGGUUGUAAACUUCUUUUGUCAGGGAAGAGUAGAAGACGGUACCUGACGAAUAAGCCACGGCUAACUACGUGCCAGCAGCCGCGGUAAUACGUAGGUGGCCAGCGUUGUCCGGCUUUACUGGGUGUAAAGGGCGUGUAGCCGGGUUGACAAGUCAGAUGUGAAAUCCUGCGGCUUAACCGCAAAACUGCAUUUGAAACUGGUGAUCUUGAGUACUGGAGAGGCAGAUGGAAUUCCUGGGGUAGCGGUGAAAUGCGUAGAGAUUAGGAGGAACACCAGUGGCGAAGGCGGUCUGCUGGACAGCAACUGACGGUGAGGCGCGAAAGCGUGGGGAGCAAACAGGAUUAGAUACCCUGGUAGUC